RNAcentral lists this ribosomal RNA (1374 nucleotides) under metagenome. RNAcentral describes it as "bacterial SSU rRNA". It matches the Rfam family "Bacterial small subunit ribosomal RNA". The record is from RNAcentral.
GGAGCAAUCCAUGAGUACAGUGGCGUACGGGUGAGUAACACGUGGAUCAUCUACCUUCUAGUGGGGAAUACCCCCGGGAAACUGGGGACAAUACCGCAUAAGCUCGUAAGAGGAAAGCAGCAAUGCGCUGGAAGAGGAGUCCGCGGCUGAUUAGCUAGUUGGCGGGGUAAUGGCCCACCAAGGCGAAGAUCGGUAGCCGGCCUGAGAGGGCACACGGCCACACUGGCACUGAAACACGGGCCAGACUCCUACGGGAGGCAGCAGUGGGGAAUCUUGCACAAUGGAGGAAACUCUGAUGCAGCGACGCCGCGUGAGCGAUGAAGCCCUUCGGGGUGUAAAGCUCUUUCGACGGGAACGAUAAUGACGGUACCCGAAGAAGAAGCUGCGGCUAACUACGUGCCAGCAGCCGCGGUAAUACGUAGGCAGCAAGCGUUGUUCGGAAUUACUGGGCGUAAAGAGUGUGUAGGCGGUGCUCCAAGUCUGGUGUGAAAUCUCCCGGCUUAACUGGGAGGGUGCAUUAGAAACUGAAUGCUAGAGGAUGGGAGAGGUAAGCGGAAUUCCUGGUGUAGCGGUGAAAUGCGUAGAUAUCAGGAGGAACACCUGUGGUGUAGACAGCUUACUGGACCAUUUCUGACGCUGAGACACGAAAGCGUGGGUAGCAAACAGGAUUAGAUACCCUGGUAGUCCACGCCCUAAACGAUGCAUACUUGGUGUGAGCGAUUCAUUUCGUUCGUGCCGGAGCUAACGCGUUAAGUAUGCCGCCUGGGGAGUACGGUCGCAAGGCUAAAACUCAAAGGAAUUGACGGGGGCCCGCACAAGCGGUGGAGCAUGUGGUUCAAUUCGACACAACGCGAAGAACCUUACCUGGGCUCGAACGGCUAUGGACCAUUCCUGGAAACAGGGACUUCUCGCAAGAGACUGUAGUCGAGGUGCUGCAUGGCUGUCGUCAGCUCGUGUCGUGAGAUGUUGGGUUAAGUCCCGCAACGAGCGCAACCCUUGUCCUGUGUUGCCAUCAUUAAGUUGGGCACUCUCAGGAGACCGCCAGCGAUAAGCUGGAGGAAGGUGGGGAUGAUGUCAAGUCAUCAUGGCCUUUAUGUCCAGGGCUACACACGUGCUACAAUGGCCGGUACAAAGCGCUGCAAACUCGCAAGAGGGAGCUAAUCGCAAAAAACCGGUCUCAGUUCGGAUCGCAGGCUGCAACUUGCCUGCGUGAAGCUGGAAUCGCUAGUAAUGCCGUAUCAGAACGAUGGCGUGAAUACGUUCCCGGGCCUUGUACACACCGCCCGUCACAUCACGAAAGUGGAUUGUACUAGAAGUCCUAAUCAAACAGGCCCAAGGUAUGAUUCAUGAUUGGGGUGAAGUCGAAACAAGGUA